AAGUUUACAAAAGCUAUGGAUCAAAGUUCUAAGAGCUUGGAUGCUUAUGUUGCUUAUUCCCGAGGAGGAGGAUGUGGAUGCACCCCCAUGUGUACGUAAGGACACACGAGCUAAAGGCUUUACCUGACCCAGUAAAAGUGUCAAGCGCUCCAUCUCCAGUCGUGGCUGUGGUUUCACUGCUGUUCAAGGGCUCUGUUUUGACUGCAAGAAGAGACACUACGUAGAAGAAUAAGUACAUGGUAGAACAAAAUGGAAAAGUAGAAAUAAAACAUUUAUUCUGUCACAGAAAAUAAGCUGCAUUCAUACUAAGUGAGCAUCAACAAGCACCUCUUGAUCUCUAAGACAGCAAACCAAAAUCAUUACAUGCAAUAAAAUGGAAGCAAAAUCCUUUUAUAGAAGACAAGCACCGUAUUUCUCAACCAAAUGCAAGCUUACACACCAAAUGUUUUGAUUUCAAAAGAAACAAUAUUUUAAUGUCCUAGGUUGAAGAGUUUUGUGGGAUUAUUAUUCUGUAUCUUCAAAGUAAGUGAGUCAGAGCUCGUUUUGCUAAAAGUGGCAUAAAAUUACUUUCUAUACCACUUUGUCGAGAACCGUUAAGAAAUCCUUGUACUGUCAGGUCCCCCUCCCCACUAGUUAGCUACUUGCAAUUUGGAUGUUUCUGAUAGAGUCAAAUGGUAAAAAUAAAUAAACAUACAUGAUUGGCUUUUCCAUUUUUUUAGCUUUAAAAAUAAUUCUUAUCUAUAGACUAAAUCAAGGUCAUACAUAAUUAUUGUCAGGUACCAGUAAUGGCUACUAAAUCACAGAUUUCCUGUCUUCACAUCCC
RNAcentral lists this long non-coding RNA (823 nucleotides) under Homo sapiens (human). RNAcentral describes it as "HSALNT0113378". The record is from RNAcentral. Lineage: Eukaryota; Metazoa; Chordata; Mammalia; Primates; Hominidae.